This 468-nucleotide ribosomal RNA is filed under the name uncultured bacterium. RNAcentral describes it as "partial 16S ribosomal RNA". It matches the Rfam family "Bacterial small subunit ribosomal RNA", at positions 28 to 507 of the family's 1533-position model. The record is from RNAcentral.
GACGAACGCUGGCGGCGUGCUUAACACAUGCAAGUCGAACGGAAAGGCCCUGCUGUUGUGGGGUGCUCGAGUAGCGAACGGGUAAGUAACACGUGAGUAACCUGCCCUUGACUUUGGGAUAACUUCAGGUAACUGGGGCUAAUACCGGAUAGGAGCUCCUGCUGCAUGGUGGUGGUUGGCAAGUUUGGGGGGUUGGGGAUGGACUGGCGGCUUAUCAGCUUGUUGGUGGGGUAGUGGCUUACCAGGGCAUUGGCGGGUAGCCGGCCUGAGUGGUUGACCGGCAACAUGGGGAUGGGGAUAGGGCCCAGACUCCUACGGGAGGCAGCAGUGGGGAAUAUGGCACAAGGGGCGGAAGCCGGAGCCAGAACCGCGGGGGGCGGAAUGACGGCCUUCGGGUGGUAAACCGCUUUCGCAGGGGACGAAGCGUGAGUGACGGUAAUGGGUAAAGAAGCACCGGCUAACUACGUG